UAACUUAGAUGGCUGCUUGUUUGGAAACAAGUUUUUAAGACCCCAGACACUAAGGAAGGUGAUUUUCCCAGGGCGAGGCUCAUCCAUUGCACUGCAGGUGUGCUGACCCCUACGAUUUCCCCCAAAUGUGGGAAACUUGACCGCAUAAUUUGUGGUAGUGGGGGACUGCGUUCUCACUCUCACCUG
This 186-nucleotide small nuclear RNA is filed under the name Echinops telfairi (small Madagascar hedgehog). RNAcentral's name for it is "U1 spliceosomal RNA (ENSETEG00000024200.1)". It matches the Rfam family "U1 spliceosomal RNA". Rfam says of the family: U1 is a small nuclear RNA (snRNA) component of the spliceosome (involved in pre-mRNA splicing). Its 5' end forms complementary base pairs with the 5' splice junction, thus defining the 5' donor site of an intron. Lineage: Eukaryota; Metazoa; Chordata; Mammalia; Afrosoricida; Tenrecidae. The record is from RNAcentral.